RNAcentral lists this transfer RNA (95 nucleotides) under Candidatus Auribacterota bacterium. Its description in RNAcentral is "tRNA-Sec". It matches the Rfam family "Selenocysteine transfer RNA". The record is from RNAcentral. Lineage: Bacteria; Pseudomonadati; Candidatus Auribacterota.
GAAGGUGUUUAGUGUCUGGCGAUACUCGCAGUCUUCAAAACUGUUGUGGGGCCGAACAGGUUCAGGUUGGGUUCGAUUCCCAUACGCCUCCGCCA